UUCGGAUUUACCCCAUCACUGUAUCUCUCCUCUAUAUAUCUCUUACAAACCCUAUUUCUCUUCUCUCUAGCUUCGAAUUGGAGACCGAAUGGGGGUAGAGUUUGGGGGUUUCAGAGAGGCGUUUGGGGAUGAGAGAGAGGGAGCGAUUGAAGGAAGGAGAGGGAGCGAGUGAGAUCACCACCAGAUCGACGAUCGCCGAUUCAUCAGGAGAUAAACGAUCGAAGAGACUCCUGUCUCUCACUCUUUUCGGACUCUCUUCUCUGUAUAUUCGAAUUGGAGACCGAAUGGGGGUAGAGUUUGGGGGUUUCGGAGCAUCAUUUCUCAAAUUUGGCAGCUGCCAUAUUCAACCACUGGAGCAUCAUUUUUCAACACAGCCUGCAGCUCCAAUGGCAAACCAUGGGAGAUGCUCUAAAAAUCACCUUCAUGUAUCAUAGAAAAAUCCAGCUCAGAUAGGUACAGCAGAGACAGAUAGGAAAAGCCUGAAAGCCUGAAGCUCAGAUAGGUACAACAGACCAAUACUCAAGCCUGAAAGCCUGUGUGUCUUUCUUUAUACUUUCUCCGUCGCUCUCGCUCGCUGUGUGUACAUCUCAUCCUUAUCUUGGCCGAUGGAUCGAUUCGAUUUGCUUUCUUCAAUCAUAGAGCUAUGCAAAGGGUUUUUGUUCGAUGAGAUGAUUUAUUGGGAAUGGUCUGUAUAUUCUGUGCAGUAAAUUUCUCGAAGACUAUUGUAGAAAAAAGAAGUAUGAAGUGUUGAAGCCUCUCGUGUUGUUCUUGUUGAAAUGCCACUAGUACACAGCAGAGAAAGAAAUUUAACAAGAGAUUGCGAGAGAAUAACCUUCAAAUUAUGAGAGAGUUUUUUUAUCGGGUAAUGUAUAAUUUCAUUUUUUCUUCCAAUUGUGUUAUGGUUACACCUUUAUUGAUUAUGAUUAUGAUUAUGAUUAUGAUUAUGAUUUUAUUUUAUUUUAUUUUAUUUUAUUUA
This is a long non-coding RNA of Camellia sinensis, 976 nucleotides long. RefSeq lists it as uncharacterized. The record is from RefSeq and is a predicted model, not a curated record. Lineage: Eukaryota; Viridiplantae; Streptophyta; Magnoliopsida; Ericales; Theaceae.